RNAcentral lists this ribosomal RNA (253 nucleotides) under uncultured bacterium. RNAcentral's name for it is "partial 16S ribosomal RNA". It matches the Rfam family "Bacterial small subunit ribosomal RNA", at positions 524 to 776 of the family's 1533-position model. The record is from RNAcentral.
UACGAAGGGGACUAGCGUUGUUCGGAAUUACUGGGCGUAAAGCGCGUGUAGGCGGUUGUCCAAGUUGGAUGUGAAAGCCUUGAGCUCAACUCAAGAAAUGCAUUCAGGACUGGAUGACUAGAGGACCGGAGAGGAUAGUGGAAUUCCCAGUGUAGUGGUGAAAUACGUAGAGAUUGGGAAGAACACCAGUGGCGAAGGCGGCUAUCUGGACGGUUUCUGACGCUAAGACGCGAAAGCGUGGGGAGCAAACAGG